CACCAAUUUAGGUAAAUGUACCCUCGAUACUGGAAUCGGUCUUAGAUUCCAAGGUACAUGUGGUACAGUGAAGAUAACCAUAGGUGUUAUAAUAUUUGGAUCCACACACCCAAUUUCAUGAGAUUCGAAGGCAAACGAUCUACCUUGUUUAGCCAACAUCUUUUUGAAACAAAUAAUUUCCUCGGGCAAUAAAGAACCAUCAGAACCAAUCUUCAAUUCUUUAGAAGUCUCU
This 232-nucleotide long non-coding RNA is filed under the name Physcomitrium patens. RNAcentral describes it as "long non-coding RNA (PPAT_LNC002756)". Lineage: Eukaryota; Viridiplantae; Streptophyta; Bryopsida; Funariales; Funariaceae. The record is from RNAcentral.